Molecule: non-coding RNA, 48 nt
Filed under: Trichobilharzia regenti
Lineage: Eukaryota; Metazoa; Platyhelminthes; Trematoda; Strigeidida; Schistosomatidae
Source: RNAcentral
AUCCAUCUGACAAGUCCCAAACAGGACGAAAUGCACUUUGCCCUGGAU